Molecule: ribosomal RNA, 511 nt
Filed under: Rhinocladiella similis
Lineage: Eukaryota; Fungi; Ascomycota; Eurotiomycetes; Chaetothyriales; Herpotrichiellaceae
Description: eukaryotic LSU rRNA
Rfam family: Eukaryotic large subunit ribosomal RNA
Source: RNAcentral
AGUGAAGCGGCAACAGCUCAAAUUUGAAAUCUGGCCUCUUGGGGGUCCGAGUUGUAAUUUGUAGAGGAUGUUUCGGGUACCGCCUCGGUUUAAAUUUCUUGGAACAGAAUGUCAGAGAGGGUGAGAAUCCCGUCUUGGACCGGCGGUAGGGCCCAUGUGAAACUCCUUCGACGAGUCGAGUUGUUUGGGAAUGCAGCUCAAAAUGGGUGGUAAAUUUCAUCUAAAGCUAAAUAUUGGCCAGAGACCGAUAGCGCACAAGUAGAGUGAUCGAAAGAUGAAAAGAACUUUGAAAAGAGAGUUAAACAGUAUGUGAAAUUGUUGAAAGGGAAGCGCUUGCAACCAGACUUGAGCGCGGCGGUUCCCCCUUCCUUUUGGUUGGGUUACUCCGCCGUGUCCAGGCCAACAUCGGUUCUGGGGGUCGGUUAAAGGCCCGGGGAAUGUAUCUACUCCUGCCGGGGGUAGACUUAUAGCCCCGGGUGUCAUGCGACCACCCGGGACCGCAGGCAACGCG